Molecule: long non-coding RNA, 1047 nt
Filed under: Sarcophilus harrisii (Tasmanian devil)
Lineage: Eukaryota; Metazoa; Chordata; Mammalia; Dasyuromorphia; Dasyuridae
Description: lncRNA (ENSSHAG00000021639.1)
Source: RNAcentral
AGGAGGAGGCAGGGGCUGGGGGACCAGGCUUGGGUACCUUCAGGAACAGGGUAUCUGGAUCCCCAGGGGCCAGAGGGAAGACCAGGCUUCAGGAAUGAAGGGGUUACAGUUACCCAAGUGUCACCUGAGCUGGGCGUCAAGUUUCCUGGGUGCUGCCUCCGCCCCGGUUGGGGGAGGGGAAGGGGACGGCUGGGCCUCCCUGAGGAGACGCCCCCAGUCCUGGGCCCCUCCUCGACGCCCGGAACCUUCCUGCCCCCAGCAGCAGAUGCCUGGACCUUGGCCCCUGCUGGGAGCGGCUGCGGGCCCGGCCUGACUCGGCCGCUGCAGGCCUUCCCGGUUAAUGAUCAGCCAGCAGCGGAGCCGGCGUCGGGGGAGGGUCUGAUGCGGAGGAGGGAACCCCGGAGCUUGGCCACCCUAGAGGAGGGCAGGCCGGCCCCAGCUGCUCACUGUGAGGGUGUCCGGCACCCGGGGCGGCACCGCGGCCGGCUCAUCGCCUACAGCCUGGUGUUUGAGGACCCUGCCUGGAUCCAGGAUUCAGAUUCAGACACUGACUCAGAAGGGCCCCGGGCUGCCCCAGGGGGUCUGGGCCCAAGGGUUGGGAUUGGGGGUGAGAGGAGUGGUCUCCCGCUGGAAGGUCCCGUAGCUGAGCUGGAAUGGGACCCCACGGGGGAUGUGGGGUGGCUGGGUACCUUCAGGAGCAGGAGAGGCUGGACACCGGGCUCCCCCUGUGAAGUGUGCGGACACAUGGAGCCCCUGGGGGCGUGGUCCCUCCAGCCGUGGGGCGCCCCCCGGGCUGUGGCCCCCCCGGACAGGAAGCAGCCCAGCCCCCGGGAUGUGACCGUCCAGAUCCACAAGGAGGGGGAAGAGCCAGCCGGGGGUGCUCAGCCCCCCCGCGCCCGCCGCCCCCUCCUCUUUGUGCUGCUCCUGCUGCUCCUUGGGGUGGCGUGCCUCCUGCCGCCCCCCAGGGGGCCUCACUGCCCCCCUCCACGGCUCCCCGGGUCCCUGCACCUGGUCCUCAGCUAUGUCAACGGCCCGCCCCCAACCUGA